Long non-coding RNA from Panicum virgatum (switchgrass), 280 nucleotides. RefSeq lists it as uncharacterized. Lineage: Eukaryota; Viridiplantae; Streptophyta; Magnoliopsida; Poales; Poaceae. The record is from RefSeq and is a predicted model, not a curated record. The transcript has 3 exons.
UAGGAACUUGGGAUACAAGGUUUGAUUCAGGUACAAAAGCAGCAUUAUUGUUGCCAUUUUCUCCAAUCGUCAUCGCAGCUGAUGAAAAUGAACAAAUAAGAGUGUGGAACACUGGAACUACGAUGAUGCACUACCAGUGAACUCUUUUCAAAACCAUAAAUUGUCCGACAGAGGGCUAUCGAAACUCUUGCUUAUCAACGAGCUUGAUGAGAGCUUGCUUUUAGCUGCCUCAAGUGAUGGAAAUGUACGUAUAUGGAAAAAUUUUACUCAAAAGGGAGGA